Molecule: non-coding RNA, 46 nt
Filed under: Schistosoma margrebowiei
Lineage: Eukaryota; Metazoa; Platyhelminthes; Trematoda; Strigeidida; Schistosomatidae
Source: RNAcentral
AUCUAGCUGAGGAGUCCUAGAAUAGGACGAAAUACAGGUCCUGGAU